RNAcentral lists this ribosomal RNA (468 nucleotides) under uncultured bacterium. RNAcentral describes it as "partial 16S ribosomal RNA". It matches the Rfam family "Bacterial small subunit ribosomal RNA", at positions 28 to 507 of the family's 1533-position model. The record is from RNAcentral.
GACGAACGCUGGCGGCGUGCUUAACACAUGCAAGUCGAGCGGUGAAGCUCCAGCUUGCUGGAGUGGAUCAGUGGCGAACGGGUGAGUAACACGUGAGCAACCUGCCCCUGACUCUGGAAUAAGCGCUGGAAACGGCGUCUAAUACUGGAUACGGGAAGGGUCCGCAUGGGCACUUUCUGGAAAGUUUUUCGGUUGGGGAUGGGCUCGCGGCCUAUCAGCUUGUUGGUGAGGUAAUGGCUCACCAAGGCGACGACGGGUAGCCGGCCUGAGAGGGCGACCGGCCACACUGGGACUGAGACACGGCCCAGACUCCUACGGGAGGCAGCAGUGGGGAAUAUUGCACAAUGGGCGAAAGCCUGAUGCAGCGACGCCGCGUGAGGGAUGACGGCCUUCGGGUUGUAAACCUCUUUCAGCAGGGAAGAAGCGAAAGUGACGGUACCUGCAGAAGAAGCACCGGCUAACUACGUG